CGGACGGGUGAGUAACGCGUGAGGAUCUGGCCUUAGGACUGGGACAACAUUGGGAAACCGAUGCUAAUACCGGAUGAGCCGAGAGGUAAAAGAUUAAUUGCCUAGGGAUGAACUCGCGUCUGAUUAGCUAGUUGGUGGGGUAAAGGCUUACCAAGGCGACGAUCAGUAGCUGGUCUGAGAGGAUGAUCAGCCACACUGGGACUGAGACACGGCCCAGACUCCUACGGGAGGCAGCAGUGGGGAAUUUUCCGCAAUGGGCGCAAGCCUGACGGAGCAACGCCGCGUGCGGGAGGACGGUUUGUGGACUGUAAACCGCUUUUAAUAGGGAAGAAGUUCUGACGGUACCUAUUGAAUCAGCAUCGGCUAACUCCGUGCUAGCAGCCGCGGUAAUACGGAGGAUGCAAGCGUUAUCCGGAAUUAUUGGGCGUAAAGGGUCCGCAGGUGGCCGAACAAGUCAGCUGUUAAAGACUGGGGCUUAACUCCGGGAGAGCAGAUGAAACUGUUAGGCUAGAGUACGGUAGGGGUAGAGGGAAUUCCUAGUGUAGCGGUGAAAUGCGUAGAUAUUAGGAAGAACACCAGUGGCGAAGGCGCUCUACUGGGCCUGUACUGACACUGAGGGACGAAAGCUAGGGGAGCGAAUGGGAUUAGAUACCCCAGUAGUC
This 662-nucleotide ribosomal RNA is filed under the name uncultured cyanobacterium. RNAcentral describes it as "bacterial SSU rRNA". It matches the Rfam family "Bacterial small subunit ribosomal RNA", at positions 99 to 795 of the family's 1533-position model. Lineage: Bacteria; Bacillati; Cyanobacteriota. The record is from RNAcentral.